ACGACGCCCUCCGUGGCGUCCACGGGCUUCUGCAACGGGCCCAUGUGGCGGGGGUGGUGCCGUGUCGGCGCAGCACCACCCCCGGCCG
This 88-nucleotide non-coding RNA is filed under the name Streptomyces sp. F-1. Its description in RNAcentral is "Streptomyces RNA 6106". It matches the Rfam family "Streptomyces RNA 6106". Rfam says of the family: Identified by deep sequencing of transcriptome at the end of exponential growth phase. Appears smaller on northern blot than sequencing transcript. The record is from Rfam by way of RNAcentral. Lineage: Bacteria; Bacillati; Actinomycetota; Actinomycetes; Kitasatosporales; Streptomycetaceae.